RNAcentral lists this long non-coding RNA (695 nucleotides) under Oryza brachyantha (malo sina). RNAcentral describes it as "long non-coding RNA (OBRA_LNC002979)". Lineage: Eukaryota; Viridiplantae; Streptophyta; Magnoliopsida; Poales; Poaceae. The record is from RNAcentral.
UGACCGCCGCUUGAUUACAGAGACGGUGGGGGCUAGUGGCCUUGGCAGGAUUCUCGUGUAGUUUGUAGAUCAGGAAUGGCUUCGGCAGAGAAGUCGCGAAGACAUGACCAAGCCAUGCGUUGGACGAACGAUAAGGUCUACCAAACCUGGAGAGGGUGGGAGGGGAAAUGCGUUGGACCAACUAAAAAAGUUUCCACCAUCACAAAGCUCAUGCCUGGAUCUGGUGUAGCAGAGAAAAGCAGUGGAUGGACACCACCCACAAUGAUACAGUCGUAUGGAGCAGAUUUGCAGAUGGAUCAAGAGGCAAUGCAAUUGGGGCGGGACAUACAUGGAGCUCCUCCGUGUCAACGAUCUCAUCUGCACACAUUAUCUAUUUGAGCCUUGCCGCUCUGCCUCAUCAAGCCCUCACCACCCCACGCCGUCAACCACCUCUCUAUUCAGAUCCAUCGUAUGGAUCAUGUGUAUGUCGAAAACUAGAUUAUUUUAAAUAUGCAUACACAGUUCAUAGGCAAUUUUCUCACAGUGUCUCUAAAUACUAAAAUUUAUACUCAACAUUUUGGUAACUCGAGGUACAUAGUAACCGAAGGUAUCAAAUUUUAUACUAGAAAAUGUAGUACCUCCAAUUACGUUCUUAAGAAUGGUAAAAUCGCUCUUAGUUCAUAUAUAUAUAUAUAUAUAUAUAUAUAUAUACACAC